AGAGUUUGAUCCUGGCUCAGGAUGAACGCUGGCGGCGUGCCUAAUACAUGCAAGUCGAGCGAACGGACGAGAAGCUUGCUUCUCUGAUGUUAGCGGCGGACGGGUGAGUAACACGUGGAUAACCUACCUAUAAGACUGGGAUAACUGCGGGAAACCGGAGCGAAUACCGGAUAAUAUUUUGAACCGCAUGGUUCAAAAGUGAAAGACGGUCUUGCUGUCACUUAUAGAUGGAUCCGCGCUGCAUUAGCUAGUUGGUAAGGUAACGGCUUACCAAGGCAACGAUGCAUAGCCGACCUGAGAGGGUGAUCGGCCACACUGGAACUGAGACACGGUCCAGACUCCUACGGGAGGCAGCAGUAGGGAAUCUUCCGCAAUGGGCGAAAGCCUGACGGAGCAACGCCGCGUGAGUGAUGAAGGUCUUCGGAUCGUAAAACUCUGUUAUUAGGGAAGAACAUAUGUGUAAGUAACUGUGCACAUCUUGACGGUACCUAAUCAGAAAGCCACGGCUAACUACGUGCCAGCAGCCGCGGUAAUACGUAGGUGGCAAGCGUUAUCCGGAAUUAUUGGGCGUAAAGCGCGCGUAGGCGGUUUUUUAAGUCUGAUGUGAAAGCCCACGGCUCAACCGUGGAGGGUCAUUGGAAACUGGAAAACUUGAGUGCAGAAGAGGAAAGUGGAAUUCCAUGUGUAGCGGUGAAAUGCGCAGAGAUAUGGAGGAACACCAGUGGCGAAGGCGACUUUCUGGUCUGUAACUGACGCUGAUGUGCGAAAGCGUGGGGAUCAAACAGGAUUAGAUACCCUGGUAGUCCACGCCGUAAACGAUGAGUGCUAAGUGUUAGGGGGUUUCCGCCCCUUAGUGCUGCAGCUAACGCAUUAAGCACUCCGCCUGGGGAGUACGACCGCAAGGUUGAAACUCAAAGGAAUUGACGGGGACCCGCACAAGCGGUGGAGCAUGUGGUUUAAUUCGAAGCAACGCGAAGAACCUUACCAAAUCUUGACAUCCUUUGACAACUCUAGAGAUAGAGCCUUCCUCUUCGGGGGACAAAGUGACAGGUGGUGCAUGGUUGUCGUCAGCUCGUGUCGUGAGAUGUUGGGUUAAGUCCCGCAACGAGCGCAACCCUUAAGCUUAGUUGCCAUCAUUAAGUUGGGCACUCUAAGUUGACUGCCGGUGACAAACCGGAGGAAGGUGGGGAUGACGUCAAAUCAUCAUGCCCCUUAUGAUUUGGGCUACACACGUGCUACAAUGGACAAUACAAAGGGCAGCGAAACCGCGAGGUCAAGCAAAUCCCAUAAAGUUGUUCUCAGUUCGGAUUGUAGUCUGCAACUCGACUACAUGAAGCUGGAAUCGCUAGUAAUCGUAGAUCAGCAUGCUACGGUGAAUACGUUCCCGGGUCUUGUACACACCGCCCGUCACACCACGAGAGUUUGUAACACCCGAAGCCGGUGGAGUAACCUUUUAGGAGCUAGCCGUCGAAGGUGGGACAAAUGAUUGGGGUGAAGUCGUAACAAGGUAGCCGUAUCGGAAGGUGCGGCUGGAUCACCU
Molecule: ribosomal RNA, 1540 nt
Filed under: Staphylococcus aureus M87641
Lineage: Bacteria; Bacillati; Bacillota; Bacilli; Caryophanales; Staphylococcaceae
Description: 16S ribosomal RNA
Rfam family: Bacterial small subunit ribosomal RNA
Source: RNAcentral